AUAAAGAUUUCCUCCAAACUAGGUUGGAGGAAUUUCCUCCAACAUAGUCUAUAAAAAUAACAUGUGUCCUUUUACAUGUGAGAAGUACAUAUUUUUUUAAUUACAAUGACAAAUUUGGAAAAUUUUUUAUAAAAAGCAUGUGUUUCUCACAUGCAAAUGGACACAUGUCAUUUUUAUAGAUUAUGUUGGAAGAAGCGAAACACGUAAAUGGACACAUGUCAUUUUUAUAGACUAUGUUGAAGAAAGUUGCUCCAAUCCAAUUUGGAGAAAAACUGUCCCCCUUAAAAAGAUUAAAAAAAAGGUUGUGUUCAAAAUUGUGUAAAUUUAUGAAAUCUUGCUUUGCACAUUGAAUGUUGCAUUCUUUGUUUAGUCGCAUAAUUGGGUUAUUCAGUCAUAAUUUACUUGAUUACUGGUCCUAUAACAAAUGUUACAAAAUUUCUUACUGGUUCAAAACGAGCCUUUAGAUAACGUGGCCUCAAACUUCCAAGCUCCACAAAUGAAAAAGCUAAAGGCUGCAUUACAUACAGAUAAAUCCAUUAACAGAAUACUCUGCUUAACUAUUUUAGCCCCUGCCCUCCAACCUUCCUGCUCAUGUCUCUGUCCUUGUAUGUCCGUGUGCUCGUGCGCACGUGUUUUAAUUUUUGUUUCAAAAGGAAGAAAAGUUAUUCUAAAAUGCUAACCAGACAAUUUGCUAAUAAUUACCA
This 704-nucleotide long non-coding RNA is filed under the name Betula platyphylla (Asian white birch). RNAcentral describes it as "salt induced long non-coding RNA 1". Lineage: Eukaryota; Viridiplantae; Streptophyta; Magnoliopsida; Fagales; Betulaceae. The record is from RNAcentral.